UGGGGAAUAUUGCACAAUGGGCGAAAGCCUGAUGCAGCAACGCCGCGUGAGUGAUGAAGGCCUUCGGGUUGUAAAAGCUCUGUCUUUUGGGACGAUAAUGACGGUACCAAAGGAGGAAGCCACGGCUAACUACGUGCCAGCAGCCGCGGUAAUACGUAGGUGGCAAGCGUUGUCCGGAUUUACUGGGCGUAAAGGAUGCGUAGGCGGAUUUUUAAGUGAGAUGUGAAAUACCCGGGCUUAACUUGGGUGCUGCAUUUCAAACUGGGAAUCUAGAGUGCGGGAGAGGAGAAUGGAAUUCCUAGUGUAGCGGUGAAAUGCGUAGAGAUUAGGAAGAACACCAGUGGCGAAGGCGAUUCUCUGGACCGUAACUGACGCUGAGGCAUGAAAGCGUGGGUAGCAAACAGGAUUAGAUACCCUGGUAGUCCACGCCGUAAACGAUGAGUACUAGGUGUAGGAGGUAUCGACCCCUUCUGUGCCGCAGUUAACACAAUAAGUACUCCGCCUGGGAAGUACGAUCGCAAGAUUUAAAAAGCCUUAAAGGAAUUGACGGGGGUCAUAGCUGUUUUCC
This 568-nucleotide ribosomal RNA is filed under the name uncultured bacterium. RNAcentral's name for it is "partial 16S ribosomal RNA". It matches the Rfam family "Bacterial small subunit ribosomal RNA", at positions 355 to 938 of the family's 1533-position model. The record is from RNAcentral.